GGAGAUGUGGCUCAGUGGUAGAGCACUUGCCCAUCGUGAAUGAGGCUGUGGUGUCAAUUCCAAACAGCUCUA
Molecule: transfer RNA, 72 nt
Filed under: Cricetulus griseus (Chinese hamster)
Lineage: Eukaryota; Metazoa; Chordata; Mammalia; Rodentia; Cricetidae
Rfam family: tRNA
About the family: Transfer RNA (tRNA) molecules are approximately 80 nucleotides in length. Their secondary structure includes four short double-helical elements and three loops (D, anti-codon, and T loops). Further hydrogen bonds mediate the characteristic L-shaped molecular structure. tRNAs have two regions of fundamental functional importance: the anti-codon, which is responsible for specific mRNA codon recognition, and the 3' end, to which the tRNAs corresponding amino acid is attached (by aminoacyl-tRNA synthetases). tRNAs cope with the degeneracy of the genetic code in two manners: having more than one tRNA (with a specific anti-codon) for a particular amino acid; and 'wobble' base-pairing, i.e. permitting non-standard base-pairing at the 3rd anti-codon position.
Source: Rfam by way of RNAcentral